RNAcentral lists this unclassified non-coding RNA (303 nucleotides) under Hevea brasiliensis (rubber tree). Lineage: Eukaryota; Viridiplantae; Streptophyta; Magnoliopsida; Malpighiales; Euphorbiaceae. The record is from RNAcentral.
GCACCAUGUACUCAAUCCCCACUUCAUCUCUUGAGCCAGGUUGCUCGGUUCCAGGCCAGCCCGAGCUCAAUCCUCGCCCCCUCGAAGACUCAUUUCGUAGCAUCUCAUUCUCCAAGUCAAUUGAUCAUUCAACUGAGUUCAGCAGUUCCCGCUUCUCCGAUGUUGCAGGAAUGCUUGUUGACGAAGAUGGCGAUGUGAAGGAUGGACCCUUGAUUCUCCGGAACAAGGCACCUAGAUGGCACGAGCAGUUGCAGUGUUGGUGUCUCAAUUUUCGUGGGAGGGUGACAGUUGCAUCUGUAAAGA